This 253-nucleotide ribosomal RNA is filed under the name uncultured bacterium. Its description in RNAcentral is "partial 16S ribosomal RNA". It matches the Rfam family "Bacterial small subunit ribosomal RNA", at positions 524 to 776 of the family's 1533-position model. The record is from RNAcentral.
UACGUAGGGUGCGAGCGUUAAUCGGAAUUACUGGGCGUAAAGCGUGCGCAGGCGGUUUUGUAAGCCAGAUGUGAAAGCCCCGGGCUCAACCUGGGAAUGGCAUUUGGGACUGCAAGGCUUGAGUUUGGCAGAGGAGACUGGAAUUCCUGGUGUAGCAGUGAAAUGCGUAGAUAUCAGGAGGAAUACCGAUGGCGAAGGCAGGUCUCUGGGCUAUAACUGACGCUCAUGCACGAAAGCGUGGGGAGCAAACAGG